ACUCCUACGGGAGGCAGCAGUGGGGAAUUGUUCGCAAUGGGCGCAAGCCUGACGACGCAACGCCGCGUGGAGGACGAAGAUCUUCGGGUCGUAAACUCCUGUCGAGUGGGAAGAAUGGAUCAGGGGCGAAUAAUCCCUGAUAUUGACGGUACCACUAAAGGAAGCCCCGGCUAACUCCGUGCCAGCAGCCGCGGUAAUACGGGGGGGGCAAGCGUUGUUCGGAAUUACUGGGCGUAAAGGGCUCGUAGGCGGCCAACUAAGUCGGACGUGAAAUCCCCAGGCUCAACCUGGGAACUGCGUCCGAUACUGGAUGGCUUGAAUUCGGGAGAGGGAUGCAGAAUUCCAGGUGUAGCGGUGAAAUGCGUAGAUAUCUGGAGGAAUACCGGUGGCGAAGGCGGCAUCCUGGACCGACAUUGACGCUGAUGAGCGAAAGCUAGGGGAGCAAACGGGAUUAGAUACCCCGGUAGUCCUAGCCCUAAACGAUGAAUGCUUGGUGUGGCGGGUAUCGAUCCCUGCCGUGCCGAAGCUAACGCAUUAAGCAUUCCGCCUGGGGAGUACGGUCGCAAGGCUGAAACUCAAUGGAAUUGACGGGGGCCCGCACAAGCGGUGGAGCAUGUGGUUCAAUUCGACGCAACGCGAAGAACCUUACCCAGGCUUGAACAGCGAGUGACAUCCGGCGAAAGCCGGCUUCCGCAAGGACACUCGUAGAGGUGCUGCAUGGCUGUCGUCAGCUCGUGUCGUGAGAUGUUGGGUUAAGUCCCGCAACGAGCGCAACCCUUGUCCUCUGUUGCCAUCAGGUUAAGCUGGGCACUCUGAGGAGACUGCCGGUGAUAAACCGGAGGAAGGUGGGGAUGACGUCAAGUCAGCAUGGCCUUUAUGUCUGGGGCCACACACGUGCUACAAUGGCAGAUACAAACCGUCGCGAUGCCGCAAGGUGGAGCUAAUCGGAGAAAGUCUGUCUCAGUUCGGAUUGCAGGCUGCAACUCGCCUGCAUGAAGUUGGAAUCGCUAGUAA
This 1014-nucleotide ribosomal RNA is filed under the name uncultured bacterium. Its description in RNAcentral is "bacterial SSU rRNA". It matches the Rfam family "Bacterial small subunit ribosomal RNA", at positions 335 to 1341 of the family's 1533-position model. The record is from RNAcentral.